This 608-nucleotide long non-coding RNA is filed under the name Equus asinus (donkey). Its description in RNAcentral is "lncRNA (ENSEASG00005038027.1)". Lineage: Eukaryota; Metazoa; Chordata; Mammalia; Perissodactyla; Equidae. The record is from RNAcentral.
GGGGAAUGGAGGGGGGGAAGAGGAAUCCUCGCAAAAGACAGGCAGCACUGUCCCCAGGCUGCACGGGAGCUGUCCACUGCAGGGGCAGCGCUGUCCCCAGGCUGCACAGGCGCUGUCCACUGCAGGGGCAGCACUGUCCCCAGGCUGCGCAGGAGCUGUCCACUGCAGGGGUAGCGCUGUCCCCAGGCUGCAUGGGCGCUGUCCACUGCAGGGGGCAGCGCUGUCCCCAGGCUGCAUGGGAGCUGUCCACUGCAGGAGCAGUGCAGUUCAGCAGAGACGGCGGAGCGUGGGCAUCAGGCACACUACAGCCUGCCUGCUCUUAAGAACACUGGAAAGCACUUCAGCACUACGCUUGGGGCCACUUAAAAUAGCGAAAUCACCAACAAAAAUGUGAAAAGCGUGGCACUAAACAGACCAUGAAAAGCACACUUGUUCAGUGUGAGCUGAAACAAGAAGGCAGAGCAUCGUGUGCUGGACUUCAGCCACACACGUGUGCACAGGAGGACUCAAAAUUUUCAGUGCUCUGCACAUGACUGAAAAGGACCGUGAAAGCGAGGUUGAGUCUUCAUUGGGAGUUAAAAUAAAUUUGAUGGAGUAGGCAAACCCGC